UACGUAGGUGGCGAGCGUUGUCCGGAUUUACUGGGCGUAAAGAGCGCGCAGGCGGUCGUUCAAGUCGCGUGUGAAAGCCCCCGGCUCAACUGGGGAGGGUCACGCGAUACUGAUCGACUCGAAGGCAGGAGAGGGAAGUGGAAUUCCCGGUGUAGUGGUGAAAUGCGUAGAUAUCGAGAGGAACACCUGCGGCGAAGGCGGGUAGCUGGGCCGACACUGACGCUGAGGCGCGAAAGCCAGGGGAGCGAACGGG
This 253-nucleotide ribosomal RNA is filed under the name uncultured bacterium. Its description in RNAcentral is "partial 16S ribosomal RNA". It matches the Rfam family "Bacterial small subunit ribosomal RNA", at positions 524 to 776 of the family's 1533-position model. The record is from RNAcentral.